RNAcentral lists this ribosomal RNA (613 nucleotides) under uncultured bacterium. RNAcentral describes it as "bacterial SSU rRNA". It matches the Rfam family "Bacterial small subunit ribosomal RNA", at positions 338 to 951 of the family's 1533-position model. The record is from RNAcentral.
CCUACGGGAGGCAGCAGUAAGGAAUAUUGGACAAUGCCCGCAAGGGUGAUCCAGCCAUGCCGCGUGCAGGAAGAAGGCCCUAUGGGUCGUAAACUGCUUUUACACCGGAGAAAACCUCCCUUCGUGAAGGGAGCUGAUAGUAUGGUGAGAAUAAGCAUCGGCUAACUUCGUGCCAGCAGCCGCGGUAAGACGAAGGAUGCAAGCGUUAUCCGGAUUCAUUGGGUUUAAAGGGAGCGUAGGUGGACUGAUAAGUCAGUGGUGAAAUCUUCGAGCUUAACUCGGAAAUUGCCAUUGAUACUGUUAGUCUUGAGUACAGUUGCUGUGGGCGGAAUAUGACAUGUAGUGGUGAAAUACAUAGAGAUGUCAUAGAACACCGAUUGCGAAGGCAGCUCACAAAGCUGUAACUGACACUGAGGCUCGAAAGUGCGGGGAUCAAACAGGAUUAGAUACCCUGGUAGUCCGCACUGUAAACGAUGAUUACUCGCUGCUAGAGGGCAACUUUUAGUGGCUUAGCGAAAGCGAUAAGUAAUCCACCCUGGGGAGUACGCCGGCAACGGUGAAACUCAAAUGAAAUUGAGGCGNGAGAGNGCGAGGACGACGACGAGGGAGGAGG